Molecule: non-coding RNA, 73 nt
Organism: Anaerolineae bacterium SG8_19
Lineage: Bacteria; Bacillati; Chloroflexota; Anaerolineae
Source: Rfam
GCCCUCGUAGCUCAAAGGAUAGAGCAACGCACUCCUAAUGCGUAGGUUGGCCGUUCGAGUCGGCCCGAGGGUA